CAACCCUCAAGCACUGCUUGGUGUUGGGGCACUGCUUCUAACUAAGCAGGCCCUGAAAUCUAGUGGCGAGCUCGCCAGGACCCCGAGCGCAGUAGUUAAACCCUCGCUCUGGAAGGCCCUGGCGGUGCCCUGCCGUUAAACCCCCAACUUCUGAAA
Molecule: unclassified non-coding RNA, 156 nt
Filed under: uncultured Diaporthaceae
Lineage: Eukaryota; Fungi; Ascomycota; Sordariomycetes; Diaporthales
Description: sequence contains ITS2
Source: RNAcentral